ACAUCUCCCUCUUUGAAUAACCACUUCCACUCACAAUCUGGAAAAAGGAUUACAUCGUACCAUCCUCUUUCUCGUCGUUCAAUAUUUUUAAUAUGGACCCUCACAUGGGUUCCUGUGUCAGCCAUCUCCUCCCAAGUACUGUACAGCUGUGCCCGGCAUUCCUCAAAGAGCAAGGGUUCAAACACCUUAACAUACUCUUCCACAGAUUCAAACUGACCAGGUACACA
This 227-nucleotide unclassified non-coding RNA is filed under the name Hevea brasiliensis (rubber tree). Lineage: Eukaryota; Viridiplantae; Streptophyta; Magnoliopsida; Malpighiales; Euphorbiaceae. The record is from RNAcentral.